Non-coding RNA from Nylanderia fulva, 403 nucleotides. Lineage: Eukaryota; Metazoa; Arthropoda; Insecta; Hymenoptera; Formicidae. The record is from RefSeq and is a predicted model, not a curated record.
UCUUGGUGAUCACAACCUCACAACCACAUUUUCUUUCGUGGAAGAUACCGUCGAGUGUACACGUCGAAACGAAAUCUGAAAUAAUCGAGCGAUUCUAGAGCGAUCUAAAAGCCUUCAAGUCGUAAGAUGAGAGCUAAGUGGCGUAAGAAGAGAAUGCGCAGGCUAAAGCGUAAGAGGAGGAAGAUGCGUGCGAGGUCCAAGUAAAACAACUGCAUAUAUACCUACAUACACGUGGUCUCUCCUUAGCAAGAUCAGACCUGCGAUACUUCCAUCAAGAAUUCCAGUUGCAUCUUCAGUUGAAAAUUUCAAAGAAGAUACACUUCAGCGGAUGCGUGUUUCGCACAGAGAACCAUUUUAUACAUGUAAAUCUUCUUGGUAAAAUGCAGUGAUUAAUCAAGGUGAA